Molecule: ribosomal RNA, 466 nt
Filed under: uncultured bacterium
Lineage: Bacteria
Description: partial 16S ribosomal RNA
Rfam family: Bacterial small subunit ribosomal RNA
Source: RNAcentral
GACGAACGCUGGCGGCGUGCUUAACACAUGCAAGUCGAACGGUGAAGCAGAGCUUGCUCUUUGGAUCAGUGGCGAACGGGUGAGUAACACGUGAGUAACCUGCCCUUGACUCUGGUAUAAGCGUUGGAAACGACGUCUAAUACUGGAUACGACGACCUAAGGCAUCUUCUGGUUGUGGAAAGAAUUUUGGUCAAGGAUGGACUCGCGGCCUAUCAGCUUGUUGGUGAGGUAAUGGCUCACCAAGGCGACGACGGGUAGCCGGCCUGAGAGGGUGACCGGCCACAAUGGGACUGAGACACGGCCCAGACUCCUACGGGAGGCAGCAGUGGGGAAUAUUGCACAAUGGGAGCAAGCCGGAUGCAGCAACGCCGCGUGAGGGAUGACGGCCUUCGGGUUGUAAACCUCUUUUAGUAGGGAAGAAGCGAAAGUGACGGUACCUGAAGAAAAAGCACCGGCUAACUACGUG